GGAAAUCGCGUGCCAGCUGCCGCGUGAAGUGGAGUGGGUCAAGCGUGAAUCGUAAUUACUGGUCGUAAUGUGGGCGUAGGCGGUUCGUUAAGUCUGUCGUGGAAUCCCCGGGCUCAACCUGGGAAUGGCGAUUGAUACUGGCGAGCUAGAGUGUGUCAGAGGAUGGUGGAAUUCCCGGUGUAGCGGUGAAAUGCGUAGAGAUCGGGAGGAACAUCAGUGGCGAAGGCGGCCAUCUGGGACAACACUGACGCUGAAGCACGAAAGCGUGGGGAGCAAACAGGAUUAGAUACCCGAGUAGUC
Molecule: ribosomal RNA, 300 nt
Filed under: uncultured Halobellus sp.
Lineage: Archaea; Methanobacteriati; Methanobacteriota; Halobacteria; Halobacteriales; Haloferacaceae
Description: partial 16S ribosomal RNA
Rfam family: Bacterial small subunit ribosomal RNA
Source: RNAcentral